Odocoileus virginianus texanus is the source of this 2704-nucleotide non-coding RNA. NCBI's taxonomy places the organism in Eukaryota, Metazoa, Chordata, Mammalia, Artiodactyla, Cervidae. The record is from RefSeq and is a predicted model, not a curated record.
UGGCCAAAUUUAAAAAACUGGUGAUGGUUGAACUUAUCUGUGAAUAUACUAAUUCAAUAAAUUAUAUAUGAGUAGGUUUACGGUGUAUAAAUUAUAUCGCAAUUAUUUUAAAACAAAAUGGACUCAGCCCUUCCCUAUGCAGGCUCCAUUCUAGAGAAGAAAGUCUGCAGGAAGCACAUCACCCCACAAACGGAGAGUUCCCACGUGACAUAGGCCCAUGAGGGAGACGCAGCAUGGGCCAUGAGACAAGGCAAAGACUACUGGGGAACAGGUGUUAGCGAAGGCUGCUCUGGAGAAAUGACUUUUUAAAAUACCUUAUUUUACAGCUUUACUGAGUUAUAUAUUCAAAUGUGCAAGUCAAUGAUAUUUAGUAAAUUUACAAUGUCAUGCAACCAUCACUAUAAUCCAGUUAUGAAACACUUUCAUCCACCUGAUAAGAUUCUUUAAUCCUAUAUACAGUUAGUCCUGUUCCACUAGCUGGACUAACCACUAAUCAAUUUUCUGUCCUUUAGAUUUGCCUUUUCUGGAAAUUUUAUAUAAAUGGAAUCAUGAUAUAUGAUCUCACAUGUCUGGCUUCUUUCACUUGGCAUGUUUCGAAGGUCCACAUUGUAGCAGUAGUUUAUGACUUUUUACUGUGCAUAGUACUCAAUUGUAUGCACAGACCCUGUUGUGUUCAUUCAUUCCACAGGUGAUGGACACUUAUGUUGCUUCCAGUUGGGGGCUAUUAUGAAUGAAGCAGCUAUAAACCCUUCACAGCUAGUCUUCAUGUGGAUGUGUAUUUCCAUUUCUCAGGUAGCUUCCUAGGAGUGGAAUUGCUGGGCUAUGUGGUGCAUUUAACCUUUUUAAAAACUGCCACACUGUUUUCCAAAGUCUCACCAUUUUACAUUCUGUAGGGAAGUGAUAUUGAAGCUGAGACCUCACAGAUGAGGCGGAGCUGGCCUUGCAAGAAGGAGGGAGCGUACAGCUGCAGUGCAGACAGGGCCUGGCAGCACGUGUGAAGGCUAGGGGAGGUAAAAACUUACCUGGACAGAGCAGCUGGUUCCCUUAGGGAAGCGGUUGGAAGGCAGGUGCAAUGUCUGGCACUCCAGCAGCAACUUUGGAUCAUGAUGUUGUGGAGAACUUGGGACUGGAAAUCACAUACAGUUAACAACAAGAAAGAAAAAAGUUUGGGAGUAUCUACAUUGCCCAACUUCAGGGAGUACCCUUUAUGUUGUAUACUAUGGUAAAUAGAAUACAGAAUACAAUAGGAAAGAUAUCCCCAAAAUUUGCAAAGCAACACCCUGGAGCCUGGGCCACUGAUUCUAGGGUGCCAAAUCAGCCUCAACCAUCUACCUCUGAUCAUCAGUCACAUAAGAGAGAAACAAACUACACUGUGAGCAACUGCUAUUUGAGGAUUUUCUGUUAACUGCAGCUGAAUCUACCCAUAACAUCCCAAGUCUAAAACUUAGCCCAUAUCCUCCUUUCCUCUGCCCAAAUUCAUUUGUGCCCAGGAUGAGCAAUUGUUGAUUCCUUUCAGGAGAAGCCCCACUUUACCCUUAAUGGUGACCCCACAAGACAACCCACAGAAGUGGCAUAGUCAGGAUUUCCCCAAAGUCCACCAAAGUCUGACUUAAGUCUCUCUUGGGCUUAUCCUGUGUUUGAUGAUCUAUGGCCAACCAUUCAAAACUUAGUAGCUUCAAACAUCAGUUGACCUCCCAUGGUUUUUCUGGGCUUACCAGGCAUUGCUAACUUAGGAUCUCCCAGGGGGCUGGAAGAAGGAGUCAUCUGAAAGUGCGACAGGGCUGGGCAUCCAAAGUGCCUCCCUCAUACAGCGGGCAGGCGGUGAGGACCGGGAGCUGAAUCGAGGCUGCCACCGGCACCUCUCCCAGCAUGGAGGCGGGAUUCCAAGGAGUGUCCCAGGAGUGAGCACCCCAGGAUACUAGGCGGUGAGUCUUCUCAUGCUCCAGCCUUGAAAGCCAUAUGGCAUCGCUUCUGCCAUGUGGUUGGGGCCAGCCCAAGUUCAAGGGCAAGGAACCACCCAGGGUGCAAAUCCCAGGAGGUGUGGUGUCACAGAGGUAGGAGUCUGGAGCUUGGAGGGAGGCUGGACCAGAGACACGGCUUGGGCACCAGCAGCAGCAUGUACGUGCUAACCAAAAGCCAGGGAAUGGAGGCGUUCUGUGCACUCUUGAGCGUGUACGUGGUGUGUGGGUGUGUGUAUAUGUGUGGGUGUGUGUACUGUGUGCUGUGUGGUAGGUGCAGUGUGUGAAGUGGGUCUUUGUGCCUGUACAUGGUUGGGAGCUGGAGGCUGGCAGAGAAUAACUGGGAUUCGAAGGAAACGUGUGCCUUUCCAUCAGCUUUGGGGGGUUGGGCUCCCGUUUCUGCUGCCUCCCACUUUCUGCCUGGAGCGCCUCCGCCACCUCCAGAGUCACCGGGCCUCUGUCAGGCAGCCCGCGUCCCCCUCACUCUCCAGCAGGCCCGGGCGGAGGCUGCCCAGUGAGGCAGGCAAGGCUCGUGAAGGCUGCCCUGCCAGCAGCCCCCAGAGGACACCAUUCUUGUCACCAAAGGCCUUUGGGGACGGUGAAGGGGUGCUGUCCACCCGCCCAGGCCCUUGGGUCUGAUAUAUGCAAAGGUCACUCAGCCAAAAGGAGUUCUGGGUUCCGCUCUGCCGUGUGACUGUGGGGACAUCAUGUGCGUUCUCUGAGCCAAAUAAAACGACUGAACGAGA